AAAUUGAAGAGUUUGAUCAUGGCUCAGAUUGAACGCUGGCGGCAGGCCUAACACAUGCAAGUCGAACGGUAACAGGAAGCAGCUUGCUGCUUUGCUGACGAGUGGCGGACGGGUGAGUAAUGUCUGGGAAACUGCCUGAUGGAGGGGGAUAACUACUGGAAACGGUAGCUAAUACCGCAUAACGUCGCAAGACCAAAGAGGGGGACCUUCGGGCCUCUUGCCAUCAGAUGUGCCCAGAUGGGAUUAGCUAGUAGGUGGGGUAACGGCUCACCUAGGCGACGAUCCCUAGCUGGUCUGAGAGGAUGACCAGCCACACUGGAACUGAGACACGGUCCAGACUCCUACGGGAGGCAGCAGUGGGGAAUAUUGCACAAUGGGCGCAAGCCUGAUGCAGCCAUGCCGCGUGUAUGAAGAAGGCCUUCGGGUUGUAAAGUACUUUCAGCGGGGAGGAAGGCGAUGCGGUUAAUAACCGCGUCGAUUGACGUUACCCGCAGAAGAAGCACCGGCUAACUCCGUGCCAGCAGCCGCGGUAAUACGGAGGGUGCAAGCGUUAAUCGGAAUUACUGGGCGUAAAGCGCACGCAGGCGGUCUGUCAAGUCGGAUGUGAAAUCCCCGGGCUCAACCUGGGAACUGCAUCCGAAACUGGCAGGCUUGAGUCUCGUAGAGGGGGGUAGAAUUCCAGGUGUAGCGGUGAAAUGCGUAGAGAUCUGGAGGAAUACCGGUGGCGAAGGCGGCCCCCUGGACGAAGACUGACGCUCAGGUGCGAAAGCGUGGGGAGCAAACAGGAUUAGAUACCCUGGUAGUCCACGCCGUAAACGAUGUCGACUUGGAGGUUGUGCCCUUGAGGCGUGGCUUCCGGAGCUAACGCGUUAAGUCGACCGCCUGGGGAGUACGGCCGCAAGGUUAAAACUCAAAUGAAUUGACGGGGGCCCGCACAAGCGGUGGAGCAUGUGGUUUAAUUCGAUGCAACGCGAAGAACCUUACCUGGUCUUGACAUCCACAGAACUUUCCAGAGAUGGAUUGGUGCCUUCGGGAACUGUGAGACAGGUGCUGCAUGGCUGUCGUCAGCUCGUGUUGUGAAAUGUUGGGUUAAGUCCCGCAACGAGCGCAACCCUUAUCCUUUGUUGCCAGCGGU
This 1135-nucleotide ribosomal RNA is filed under the name Kosakonia sp. S57. RNAcentral describes it as "partial 16S ribosomal RNA". It matches the Rfam family "Bacterial small subunit ribosomal RNA", at positions 1 to 1125 of the family's 1533-position model. RNAcentral also lists the same sequence under 1 other name. The record is from RNAcentral. Lineage: Bacteria; Pseudomonadati; Pseudomonadota; Gammaproteobacteria; Enterobacterales; Enterobacteriaceae.